CAAACUGUUUCCCAAUAAGAUCAUUUUUUCAUCCAAGAAAUAAAGGGGCUGGACACUGGCUUGUAGCAAACAGAGAUACUUUGGAAGAUAGGACAUCAAAAAGGAAAAACAUUUCAGGAUCACGUUUUGAAGUGCACUCUGGGAAACAUGAAAAGAGACAACCAGAGAGUGCUAGCAACUGUUUAGAUGCACAGCUUUUUCUUACACUGUGUUGUGUGGACAAGCCCUCAGACCUCUGUUCUGUUAACAUCAGUGGCCAGC
Molecule: long non-coding RNA, 261 nt
Organism: Sinocyclocheilus grahami
Lineage: Eukaryota; Metazoa; Chordata; Actinopteri; Cypriniformes; Cyprinidae
Exons: 3
Source: RefSeq, a predicted model, not a curated record